Molecule: unclassified non-coding RNA, 214 nt
Filed under: Hevea brasiliensis (rubber tree)
Lineage: Eukaryota; Viridiplantae; Streptophyta; Magnoliopsida; Malpighiales; Euphorbiaceae
Source: RNAcentral
UUAUUGUGUUAACAUCUCUUUUCAGUGGUAAACAUCUUUUCUCUGCCUUGGAUAGACAUGUAUCCAUGUUGUUUCAGUAGUGAACAUCUUGAAUUUUUUGAGGUUGAUAACUCGAGGACCAAGACUACAAUGUGCUUUGAAAAUAAAUAUUAAAAUAUUAUAUAUAUAAGCCUGCUUCUUACUGAAUCAUUAUAAUGUGAUUAUUUAAAAUUAU